RNAcentral lists this ribosomal RNA (477 nucleotides) under uncultured bacterium. RNAcentral's name for it is "bacterial SSU rRNA". It matches the Rfam family "Bacterial small subunit ribosomal RNA", at positions 917 to 1382 of the family's 1533-position model. The record is from RNAcentral.
GGGCCCGCACAAGCGGUGGAGCAUGUGGUUUAAUUCGAUGCAACGCGAAGAACCUUACCAGGGUUUGACAUGCUGGUAGUAGAAGCCCGAAAGGGUGACGACCUUCGGUUUUCCGAGGGAGCCAGCACAGGUGCUGCAUGGUUGUCGUCAGCUCGUGUCGUGAGAUGUUGGGUUAAGUCCCGCAACGAGCGCAACCCUUACCCUUAGUUGCGACCAGGUUAAGCUUGAGCACUCUAAGGGGACUGCCGGUGACAAGCCGGAGGAAGGUGGGGAUGACGUCAAAUCCGCAUGGCCCUUAUGUCCUGGGCGACACACGUGCUACAAUGGCCAGUACAGAGGGUUGCUAACCCGCGAGGGGGAGCCAAUCCCAAAAAGCUGGCCUCAGUUGGGAUUGCAGGCUGCAACUCGCCUGCAUGAACGCGGAAUCGCUAGUAAUCGCGUAUCAGCUACGGCGCGGUGAAUGCGUUCCCGGGCCUU